GACAGAAUGUUAACACAUGCAAGUCUACUUGAACUUCGGUUUGGGUGGCGGACGGGUGAGUAACGCGUAAAGAACUUGCCUCACAGUUAGGGACAACAUUUGGAAACGAAUGCUAAUACCUGAUAUUAUGAUUUUAGGGCAUCCUAAGAUUAUGAAAGCUAUAUGCGCUGUGAGAGAGCUUGCGUCCCAUUAGCUAGUUGGAGAGGUAACGGCUCACCAAGGCGAUGAUGGGUAGCCGGCCUGAGAGGGUGAACGGCCACAAGGGGACUGAGACACGGCCCUUACUCCUACGGGAGGCAGCAGUGGGGAAUAUUGGACAAUGGACCAAAAGUCUGAUCCAGCAAUUCUGUGUGCACGAUGACGUUUUUCGGAAUGUAAAGUGCUUUCAGUUGGGAAGAAAAAAAUGACGGUACCAACAGAAGAAGUGACGGCUAAAUACGUGCCAGCAGCCGCGGUAAUACGUAUGUCACAAGCGUUAUCCGGAUUUAUUGGGCGUAAAGCGCGUCUAGGUGGUUAUGUAAGUCUGAUGUGAAAAUGCAGGGCUCAACUCUGUAUUGCGUUGGAAACUGCAUGACUAGAGUACUGGAGAGGUAAGCGGAACUACAAGUGUAGAGGUGAAAUUCGUAGAUAUUUGUAGGAAUGCCGAUGGGGAAGCCAGCUUACUGGACAGAUACUGACGCUAAAGCGCGAAAGCGUGGGUAGCAAACAGGAUUAGAUACCCUGGUAGUCCACGCCGUAAACGAUGAUUACUAGGUGUUGGGGGUCGAACCUCAGCGCCCAAGCUAACGCGAUA
RNAcentral lists this ribosomal RNA (793 nucleotides) under uncultured Fusobacterium sp. Its description in RNAcentral is "bacterial SSU rRNA". It matches the Rfam family "Bacterial small subunit ribosomal RNA", at positions 38 to 862 of the family's 1533-position model. The record is from RNAcentral. Lineage: Bacteria; Fusobacteriati; Fusobacteriota; Fusobacteriia; Fusobacteriales; Fusobacteriaceae.